ACGCGAUGUUUUCUUCCCGCAGGUGGGAGAGGAGGGAGCUACGCUCAGGCUGCCAGCAGUGACAGUGCCCAGGGCUCUGAUGUGUCUCUCUCGGCUUCUAGAGCGUGAGGCAGCUGCCUUGUGGGGACCGAGUGAUGGAAGAUGUGUUCACGCUUCCACUUCUUUCUCAAGAACCUCUGAUUGGGGGGCUGGCCAGCCCUGCUCCCCAGGCAUUCCUGUCAGCAGAGGCGGGGCUGGGCCCUCCCCAUCCCUGCCUUUACUUCCUGGGGCUGUGAGCUGCAACUUCCUGCUCUGUAUUGAAAUGAGACCGUGUAUUGA
This is a long non-coding RNA of Myotis brandtii (Brandt's bat), 318 nucleotides long. RefSeq lists it as uncharacterized. The transcript is spliced from 3 exons. The record is from RefSeq and is a predicted model, not a curated record. NCBI's taxonomy places the organism in Eukaryota, Metazoa, Chordata, Mammalia, Chiroptera, Vespertilionidae.